CCAAACAUAAAAUAAUAAUUUAAUUUAUUUUAUAAUUUACAUAAUUAAACAUACGGCAUUACUUAUAUUUUAAUUGUAACCAGGUGGCGAUGUUUGACGUAAACAGUCAAAGAUGGCCGAGCAAAGUAAUGGAGAGAGUAGUGGUUCUUGGUGGAGUAGUUGGAUCGAAACUGCUAAACUGAAAUCAUCUGAAGCAUUAGAAUUUAUGAAAAGAGAUUUAACAGAACUCUCUCAAACUGUUCAACAAGAUACUGCUGCUGCAGUUAAUACAACUGCUGCUAUUUUGAAAGACAAAUUACGAGU
Molecule: long non-coding RNA, 303 nt
Organism: Centruroides sculpturatus (bark scorpion)
Lineage: Eukaryota; Metazoa; Arthropoda; Arachnida; Scorpiones; Buthidae
Exons: 3
Source: RefSeq, a predicted model, not a curated record